Molecule: ribosomal RNA, 497 nt
Filed under: uncultured bacterium
Lineage: Bacteria
Description: partial 16S ribosomal RNA
Rfam family: Bacterial small subunit ribosomal RNA
Source: RNAcentral
GACGAACGCUGGCGGCGUGCCUAAUACAUGCAAGUUGAGCGCUGAAGGUUGGUACUUGUACCAACUGGAUGAGCAGCGAACGGGUGAGUAACGCGUGGGGAAUCUGCCUUUGAGCGGGGGACAACAUUUGGAAACGAAUGCUAAUACCGCAUAAAAACUUUAAACACAAGUUUUAAGUUUGAAAGAUGCAAUUGCAUCACUCAAAGAUGAUCCCGCGUUGUAUUAGCUAGUUGGUGAGGUAAAGGCUCACCAAGGCGAUGAUACAUAGCCGACCUGAGAGGGUGAUAGGCCACAUUGGGACUGAGACACGGCCCAAACUACUACGGGAGGCAGCAGUAGGGAAUCUUCGGCAAUAGACGAAAGUCUGACCGAGCAACGCCGCGUGAGUGAAGAAGGUUUUCGGAUCGUAAAACUCUGUUGGUAGAGAAGAACGUUGGUGAGAGUGGAAAGCUCAUCAAGUGACGGUAACUACCCAGAAAGGGACGGCUAACUACGUG